This 397-nucleotide ribosomal RNA is filed under the name uncultured bacterium. RNAcentral's name for it is "partial 16S ribosomal RNA". It matches the Rfam family "Bacterial small subunit ribosomal RNA", at positions 523 to 918 of the family's 1533-position model. The record is from RNAcentral.
AUACGUAGGAAGCGAGCGUUAUCCGGAAUUACUGGGCGUAAAGCGCGCGUAGGUGGUCUUUCAAGUCGAAUGUGAAAUUUCCCGGCUUAACCGGGAAGGGUCGUUCGAUACUGUUGGACUAGAGAGCGGCAGGGGGAAGCGGAAUUCCCGGUGAAGUAGUGAAAUGCGUAGAUAUCGGGAGGAACACCAGUGGCGAAGGCGGCUUCCUGGGCUGUUUCUGACACUGAGGCGCGAAAGUGUGGGGAGCGAACAGAAUUAGAUACUCUGGUAGUCCACACUGUAAACGAUGGGUACUAGGUAUAGGGAGUAUCGACCCUCUUUGUGCCGAAGCUAACGCUUUAAGUACCCCGCCUGGGGACUACGGCCGCAAGGCUAAAACUCAAAGGAAUCGACGGGG